This 439-nucleotide long non-coding RNA is filed under the name Homo sapiens (human). RNAcentral describes it as "non-protein coding lnc-GOLGA8O-3:5". Lineage: Eukaryota; Metazoa; Chordata; Mammalia; Primates; Hominidae. The record is from RNAcentral.
AGAUAUUAAAAAACGAAGAAAUACUGCUUACUACACAGUUGGACUCUCUUAAAAGACUUAUAAAAGAUGAAAUUUAGAAUCAAGUUCAAAACAAAAAACUCUUUGGAAUUUUGAUUGUGAUUUUGAAAAACAGGAUGAAGUUGUCUAUUACGAUCCAUGUGAAAGUCCAGAGGAACUUAGUCAGACGAUAAGAAUUCGGAAGUGAAAGAACUCAGAAGGCAGUGCCAGCAGCUGGAGUCUGUUAAACGGGGCAGUCUGUGUCAAAAGAGCUUCUCUCCAGAGUAGAAAGAUUUAUUUUCUUUUUGAAUAUAUUUUCUACACCAUGGUUUCUCAACCAGAGGUGAUACAGCACUGUCUCCAAAUGUGGGGCUGUUGUGUAUUGUCACGGGGAGGAGAAAUGCUACUGGCAUUUAGUGGAUGAUGGUCAAGGACACUAAGC